UACGAACCGUACGAACGUUAUUCGGAAUCACUGGGCUUAAAGGGUGCGUAGGCGGCGCGACAAGUUGGGUGUGAAAUCCCUCGGCUCAACCGAGGAACUGCGCCCAAAACUGUCGUGCUCGAGGGAGACAGAGGUGAGCGGAACUUAGGGUGGAGCGGUGAAAUGCGUAGAUAUCAGGAGGAAUACCGGUGGUGUAGACGGCUCUCUGGACCGUAACUGACGCUGAGACACGAAAGCGUGGGUAGCAAACAGG
This 253-nucleotide ribosomal RNA is filed under the name uncultured bacterium. RNAcentral describes it as "partial 16S ribosomal RNA". It matches the Rfam family "Bacterial small subunit ribosomal RNA", at positions 524 to 776 of the family's 1533-position model. The record is from RNAcentral.